This 74-nucleotide transfer RNA is filed under the name Coelorinchus multispinulosus (spearnose grenadier). RNAcentral's name for it is "tRNA-Leu". It matches the Rfam family "tRNA". Rfam says of the family: Transfer RNA (tRNA) molecules are approximately 80 nucleotides in length. Their secondary structure includes four short double-helical elements and three loops (D, anti-codon, and T loops). Further hydrogen bonds mediate the characteristic L-shaped molecular structure. tRNAs have two regions of fundamental functional importance: the anti-codon, which is responsible for specific mRNA codon recognition, and the 3' end, to which the tRNAs corresponding amino acid is attached (by aminoacyl-tRNA synthetases). tRNAs cope with the degeneracy of the genetic code in two manners: having more than one tRNA (with a specific anti-codon) for a particular amino acid; and 'wobble' base-pairing, i.e. permitting non-standard base-pairing at the 3rd anti-codon position. Lineage: Eukaryota; Metazoa; Chordata; Actinopteri; Gadiformes; Macrouridae. The record is from RNAcentral.
AUUGAAGUGGCAGAGCUCGGACAGUGCAAAAGACCUAAACCCUUUUAACAGAGGUUCAAAUCCUCUCUUCAGUA